CAUGUCUAUAUGGUUGUUAUAUAAAGUCUAGCCUGCCCACUGAUUUAGUUUAAAGGGCCGCGGUAUAUUGACCGUGCGAAGGUAGCAUAAUCAUUAGUCUUUUAAUUGAAGGCUUGUAUGAAUGGUUGGACAAAAAGUAAGCUGUCUCGAUUAUAAUAAUUGAAUUUAACUUUUAAGUGAAAAGGCUUAAAUAAAUUAAGGGGACGAUAAGACCCUAUAAAGCUUGACAAUAAUUUAAUUAUACUAUCAAUUGUUAGUAUAACUUGGUUUUAAUUAAUAUUUGUUGCGUUGGGGCGACGAGAAUAUAAUAGGUAACUGUUCUUAAAUAUUUAAUAACAAAUAUAAUUGGAAAUUAGUAUGAUCCUCUAUUAGCGAUUAAAAGAUUAAGUUACUUUAGGGAUAACAGCGUAAUCUUCUUUGAGAGUCCCUAUCGACAAGAAGGUUUGCGACCUCGAUGUUGAAUUAAGGUAUCCUUAUGAUGCAG
This 484-nucleotide ribosomal RNA is filed under the name Penaeus indicus. RNAcentral describes it as "partial large subunit ribosomal RNA". It matches the Rfam family "Bacterial large subunit ribosomal RNA", at positions 1830 to 2558 of the family's 2925-position model. The record is from RNAcentral. Lineage: Eukaryota; Metazoa; Arthropoda; Malacostraca; Decapoda; Penaeidae.